UCUAAGGUCGUUUUUAUUGUAAUUGUAUAUGCUUCCUUAAAGGGGGGAGAAAAACAAUAAAAGAUGGUUGACUCCUUCGGGAGCCAACCACUUGGCUUUGCAACUGCGGCCAUACAAGUAAAAAAAAGAGAGAAUUGGAAAUUCUCUCCCUUUAUCACCUGGCCCGGCUGAGUAACGGCCUGACUCAAAUCACGGCCAAAACAAUGGACACCUAUGGCAAAAUAAAAGCUACCCUGGAGGCAAACAAAUUUGCCUUUUUUACUCACCAGCCCAGAUGGGAACGAGGUGCUAGACGUGCGACCCUUGAGACCGCAGUGCCAAACUUUGUCAAACGCUUCUGUAAUAUCGAUGAAUAUAGGCGAUCCAUACAGUUUGUCCUCAAAAGCUCUCUGGAGGAAUUGUGUAACGCGAGCUAGUUGAUGCUCGGCCCCAUGAAAUUUGCAUUUGUAUGGAUUGUGAAAGACGGUUACAUUUAAGGACCCUCUUGGCAAGCAAGGAUUCAAGUAUUUUUGUUUUGUUUGCCUAUGACAAAAAAAAACAACACAUGUUACUCACUUCUUGCCUAUAAGAGGGAAUUUUCCUGACAAUAAGAGCGCUGCCUCAAUGAUUUUGCCAACUGCAAUGACGCCAUGAAUCGAUAUGAUUCGAACUGAUAACCUGCAAGAAACAAUUAUACUAAUCACUAUUAAUGAACAAUAUUUGUAAAUACUAUAUUCUUUAUAAUUAUUGCAGCUUGCAACUUGUUCUUGAUCCUCUAGUUGUUUUUACGGUCCUUGGUAAAACCCAGUAAGCAUUUAUUUACUUGCAUGUAAAAAAUUUCCCAUGUAAAUUUCCCACAAUUUUUUUUUUGUCCUACCAGUAACACCCAACAAACAUUAUGUCUUAUAUAUUAAUCAUUCACACUAUUAAUAAGCCAUUGUAAAUUA
Drosophila willistoni is the source of this 926-nucleotide long non-coding RNA. RefSeq lists it as uncharacterized. NCBI's taxonomy places the organism in Eukaryota, Metazoa, Arthropoda, Insecta, Diptera, Drosophilidae. The record is from RefSeq and is a predicted model, not a curated record. The transcript is spliced from 2 exons.